This 240-nucleotide unclassified non-coding RNA is filed under the name soil metagenome. Its description in RNAcentral is "partial contains 5.8S ribosomal RNA, internal transcribed spacer 2, and large subunit ribosomal RNA". The record is from RNAcentral.
AACGGUCUAUACCUGCGGUACCUGCGGAGGGAUCAUUAAAAAUUUAAUUAUCCUAUUAAAUUUAUAUGGAUAAUAAAUCCAUAUUCAUUUCGUGUGCAUCUAUCGAUUGUAUACUUUGACAGAUUUUUUCUUUCUUAAUUUCAUUUCAGAAAGAUGGAGAUCGAAUCUCGGGGUCUGUCAAAGUUUUCCUUUUCUUUCUUCUGAAUCCUUUAAAAUUCUGAAAACCUUAAAUAUAAUAAA